This 219-nucleotide ribosomal RNA is filed under the name Aspergillus sp. RNAcentral's name for it is "partial 28S ribosomal RNA". It matches the Rfam family "Eukaryotic large subunit ribosomal RNA", at positions 1 to 218 of the family's 3401-position model. Lineage: Eukaryota; Fungi; Ascomycota; Eurotiomycetes; Eurotiales; Aspergillaceae. The record is from RNAcentral.
UUGACCUCGGAUCAGGUAGGGAUACCCGCUGAAAUUAAGCAUAUCAAUAAGCGGAGGAAAAGAAACCAACCGGGAUUGCCCCAGUAACGGCGAGUGAAGCGGCAAGAGCUCAAAUUUGAAAUCUGGCCCCUCCGGGGUCCGAGUUGUAAUUUGCAGAGGAUGCUUCGGGUGCGGCCCCUGUCUAAGUGCCCUGGAACGGGCCGUCAGAGAGGGUGAGAA